UGGGGAAUCUUGGACAAUGGGGGCAACCCUGAUCCAGCCAUGCCGCGUGAGUGAAGACGGCCUUCGGGUUGUAAAGCUCUUUCGCACGUGACGAUGAUGACGGUAACGUGAUAAGAAGCACCGGCUAACUUCGUGCCAGCAGCCGCGGUAAUACGAAGGGUGCAAGCGUUGUUCGGAUUUACUGGGCGUAAAGCGCAUGUAGGCUGCACGCCAAGUCAGAGGUGAAAUCCCAAGGCUCAACCUUGGAACUGCCUUUGAUACUGGCAAGCUAGAGUUUGAUAGAGGAUAUCGGAAUUCCCAGUGUAGGAGUGAAAUCCGUAGAUAUUGGGAGGAACACCAGUGGCGAAAGCGGAUAUCUGGGUCAUAACUGACGCUGAGAUGCGAAAGCGUGGGGAGCAAACA
RNAcentral lists this ribosomal RNA (402 nucleotides) under uncultured bacterium. Its description in RNAcentral is "bacterial SSU rRNA". It matches the Rfam family "Bacterial small subunit ribosomal RNA", at positions 355 to 774 of the family's 1533-position model. The record is from RNAcentral.